ACCCCAUCUCUGCUUAGCAGUCCUUCUUCCAGGAACAGCAUCCCGUGGUCAAGGAAGCCGAAGCCCUCCUGGUGACACCAUCUUCACAGCCAGGCAUUCAUCUCCAGGAUGCCUCUGUCUCUGCCUGGGCCCCUACCCUUGACUGGAAGGACUGAAGAGAACACCACCUGCGCUCCCAACUUCUUCACCCUUACUCCCAGAGCCCUGUAGUCCCUGCAAGGCAGCAGCCCCCAAGGGCCAUCACAUCUGAGGGGGAUCAGUGGAGUUCAGCAGCACUCCAGCCACACCCUUUCCAUCCCACCACACCCCAACAACCCUUCAACCCUGGGGAGACGGGGCUGCAAGGGGGUGACUAGAGCUGGUAGCUUUACACCACCUGAGGAUUCCCUUACGCUGACAGAAUUCCCAGCUGGAUGCCUGCACUGGCUUUCCGGCCCCUCGGCACUGCUGGAGAGGCACAAAGGGACCAGGGUAACAUCAAAGAUCUGGCCAGCUUCAUGCAACAAUAACAAGUUAUAAUGAAGAGGAGGAUUUUCUCAUUCUUUCGUGGCUUCACUGUGAGCUCCUCUCUGCCUGGCUAUGUCGUUUUCUUCAUUGCUCUGCAUAUUCACAAUUUGG
This is a long non-coding RNA of Malaclemys terrapin pileata, 618 nucleotides long. RefSeq lists it as uncharacterized. Lineage: Eukaryota; Metazoa; Chordata; Testudines; Emydidae. The record is from RefSeq and is a predicted model, not a curated record. The transcript is spliced from 3 exons.